RNAcentral lists this non-coding RNA (494 nucleotides) under Pseudogymnoascus sp. VKM F-4246. Its description in RNAcentral is "Bacterial small subunit ribosomal RNA". It matches the Rfam family "Bacterial small subunit ribosomal RNA", at positions 921 to 1377 of the family's 1533-position model. Lineage: Eukaryota; Fungi; Ascomycota; Leotiomycetes; Thelebolales; Thelebolaceae. The record is from Rfam by way of RNAcentral.
CUGAAAUCAGUAGUGAAGUAUGUUAUUUAAUUCGAUAUUCCACGAAAAACCUUACCAUAAUUUGUAUAUUAUUUUUAAUCUUAAUUGGUCAAAAAUAUUACAAGCGUUACACGGCUGUCUUUAGUUAAUGUCGUGAGAUUUUGGUUAGUUCCAUAAAAUUAACAUAAACCCUUGCUUUAUUUUUAUAUUUUAUUUUAUAAAGCAGUUCGCCUUUAUAUUGGUUGAUAUAUGGGACCAAGACAAGUCAUCAUGACCUUAAUAUUGUGGGCUAUAGACGUGCCACAUAACCCUAUACAAAGAGAAGCCAAAAUGUGAAUUUGAGCUAAUCUCAAAAGUAGGAUAUAAUACGGAUUGUAGUCUGUAACUCGACUACAUGAAGAAGGAAUUACUAGUAAUCGUGAAUCACCAUGUAGAUUGUAGUCUAUAACUCGACUACAUGAAGAAGGAAUUACUAGUAAUCGUGAAUCACCAUGUCACAGUGAAUUUAUUCUCAG